GACCGAUAGUGAACCAGUACCGUGAGGGAAAGGCGAAAAGAACCCCGGCGAGGGGAGUGAAAAAGAACCUGAAACCGUGUACGUACAAGCAGUGGGAGCCUCUUUAUGGGGUGACUGCGUACCUUUUGUAUAAUGGGUCAGCGACUUAUAUUCUGUAGCAAGGUUAACCGUAUAGGGGAGCCGAAGGGAAACCGAGUCUUAACUGGGCG
Molecule: ribosomal RNA, 209 nt
Filed under: Citrobacter freundii
Lineage: Bacteria; Pseudomonadati; Pseudomonadota; Gammaproteobacteria; Enterobacterales; Enterobacteriaceae
Description: partial 23S ribosomal RNA
Rfam family: Bacterial large subunit ribosomal RNA
Source: RNAcentral